Molecule: long non-coding RNA, 660 nt
Organism: Asterias rubens (European starfish)
Lineage: Eukaryota; Metazoa; Echinodermata; Asteroidea; Forcipulatida; Asteriidae
Exons: 3
Source: RefSeq, a predicted model, not a curated record
GCCUUUAACAAGAAUAUUUUGUAUUUGAAAGGGACAAUAUAAUAUUUUAAAUGCUGUAACUGCUGCCUAUACAACCAACACAAUAGUGAAUGAUAAUACACACAUAAUUAAUCAACAACAAUAGCUGGGUAUACAAGUAAAUGGCAACUACACAAUGUCAUCUCCCACCGGUGAUGUGUGUAUACUGUUGCUAAUUUUUUGAACGUUUCUCUUACGUUUAUCAGUUUAUCCCUUGUUGCAUAUGUUACAGUUCAGUGGCCACGGCCAAUCACCUGCUGGCAUCUUAGGAAUUUUGCUUAGGGUGUGGCGAGACCAUAUUCCGUACGCAGGUACCUGGGUCAUUUCUGUUCCUGAUUUCGUUUGAGUAAGUUCGCCGUAUUUUCUGUAGUCAUUUCCAGUUAGUUUUCAUUGCCGAUUUCACAAGCUCACUCUAGCUGAUGUCGGAGUCUCUGAGAGUGCACUCAGGACGUGGAAGGCGAGGUAUGGGCUAACCAUGAUUUCUAACCAACCAUUACAGACAAGCUCACUCUAGCUGAUGUCAGAGUCUCUGAGAGUGCACUCAGGAUGUGGAAGGAUCCUCCUCUGCUGAUAGAAGUCUCGUCUCUCCAUGCUUCAAGCUAAGAGCUAAAUUGCGAAGGACGCGGCUACAACGUGUUCGAG